Dermochelys coriacea (leatherback sea turtle) is the source of this 150-nucleotide long non-coding RNA. RefSeq lists it as uncharacterized. The transcript is spliced from 3 exons. The record is from RefSeq and is a predicted model, not a curated record. NCBI's taxonomy places the organism in Eukaryota, Metazoa, Chordata, Testudines, Dermochelyidae.
ACGAAGGAAUUAGUGCUGAAAUCGAUCUUGCCGGGUCCAAUUUGGGGUAGUGUGGACACAAUUUGACGGCAUUGGCCUCCGGGAGCUAUCCCAGAGUACUUCAUUGUGACUGCUCUGGACAGCUCUCUCAACUCAGAUGCACUGGCCAGG